Molecule: ribosomal RNA, 257 nt
Filed under: uncultured bacterium
Lineage: Bacteria
Description: partial 16S ribosomal RNA
Rfam family: Bacterial small subunit ribosomal RNA
Source: RNAcentral
CGGGCGGGUGAGUAACACGUGAGCAACCUGGCUCUAAGAGGGGGACAACAGUUGGAAACGACUGCUAAUACCGCAUAACGUAUCGGGAUGGCAUCUUCCUGAUACCAAAGAUUUUAUCGCUUAGAGAUGGGCUCGCGUCUGAUUAGAUAGUUGGCGGGGUAACGGCCCACCAAGUCGACGAUCAGUAGCCGGACUGAGAGGUUGAACGGUCACAUUGGGACUGAGACACGGCCCAGACUCCUACGGGAGGCAGCAUG